GACAGAGGGUGCAAACGUUGUUCGGAAUUACUGGGCGUAAAGCGCAUGUAGGCGGCCAAGCAGGUCGGAUGUGAAAUCCCUCGGCUCAACCAAGGAAGUGCAUUCGAAACCGCAUGGCUGGAGUCCCGGAGAGGGUAGUGGAAUUCUCGGUGUAGAGGUGAAAUGCGUAGAUAUUGGGAGGAACACCAGUGGCGAAGGCGGCUCACUGGACCGGAACUGACGCUGAGGCGCGAAAGCGUGGGGAGCAAACAGG
This 253-nucleotide ribosomal RNA is filed under the name uncultured bacterium. RNAcentral describes it as "partial 16S ribosomal RNA". It matches the Rfam family "Bacterial small subunit ribosomal RNA", at positions 524 to 776 of the family's 1533-position model. The record is from RNAcentral.